This 689-nucleotide long non-coding RNA is filed under the name Carica papaya (papaya). RNAcentral describes it as "long non-coding RNA (CPAP_LNC016253)". The record is from RNAcentral. Lineage: Eukaryota; Viridiplantae; Streptophyta; Magnoliopsida; Brassicales; Caricaceae.
AAAGGAUUUGUUGUAAAUUAUGCUCCAUUGGUCUUUUUGUGUUUUUCUACCCACCUUUACCUCCGUGACGGUGAGAUAUCGUGAUGUCUUUACUGGGCUAGUGUAGCUUAUUCCUUAUUUAAUCAUUUCAGAUCAAGAGGACAUCGUUCCCGAGCCGCUUCCGCAGGAGGACGACGAAGGGGACGCCUGAGGACUCCAUAGUCACAUUCGUAGUUUUUACUUUCAAGUUUCUCUUUUAGGUAGUUUAAUCUUUUAUAUUUUGUGAGCACGUUUUGGUUUUAGUGUAAGGGAUGUUAUUCAAAUUUUGACUUCGCUUCCGCAUUGACAUUUUUAUAUACACUCCAUUUUUAUAUACAUUCUCAUUAUGAGAAAGGGUCAUUCGAGCGUAUCUAAAUAGAUACUAUGUUUACAUAUGGAUCCCUACGUCGUUACAUUCCAUUUAGGAUUAGGAAUAGGCGUAAUCGGACCUACUUUUUACAUAUCUCUCGUUAUUUGGGACCUAUUCACCUCUUUGUGCUUCUAUUGAAUCGAGAAAUAGGUUUGAUUGUCCAUCUUUUUGAUAAUUAAUAUCAGAUUCGUUUCCUCUUUAAACGUGAUCGGAUGGUCGAGAUCAAAUCGCGAUGAACGGUCCAGAUUCAUUUCUUCUUUAAACGCGAUAAGACGGUCGAGAUCAAAUGCGAUGAACGGUC